GCGCAGCAGGCGAGAAACCUCCGCAAUGCGGGAAACCGCGACGGGGGGACCCCGAGUGCCGUGGCAAUGCUACGGCUUUUCCGGAGUGUAAAAAGCUCCGGGAAUAAGGGCUGGGCAAGGCCGGUGGCAGCCGCCGCGGUAAUACCGGCGGCCCGAGUGGUGGCCGCUAUUAUUGGGCCUAAAGCGUCCGUAGCCGAGCCCGUAAGUCCCUGGCGAAAUCCCACGGCUCAACCGUGGGGCUUGCUGGGGAUACUGCGGGUCUUGGGACCGGGAGAGGCGGAGGGGUACCCCUGGGGUAGGGGUGAAAUCCUAUAAUCCCAGGGGGACCGCCAGUGGCGAAGGCGCCCCGCUGGAACGGGUCCGACGGUGAGGGACGAAGGCCA
This 383-nucleotide ribosomal RNA is filed under the name uncultured microorganism. Its description in RNAcentral is "bacterial SSU rRNA". It matches the Rfam family "Archaeal small subunit ribosomal RNA", at positions 330 to 713 of the family's 1478-position model. The record is from RNAcentral.